UCAAAAGAGGAGAUUUAGAGAGUGCUGAGUUUUAUAUUCAUGUGAAACCAGCACUCGGAGGAACUUUCACUGAUAUUGCAAUUUGGGUAUUUUGUCCCUUCAAUGGACCAGCCACCCUUAAAGUUGGGUUAAUGAAUAUACCUAUGACUAAGAUUGGGCAACAUGUGGGCGAUUGGGAGCACUUCACUCUUCGUGUAAGCAACUUCACAGGAGAACUAUGGCAAGUCUUCUUCUCUCAGCAUAGUGGUGGCCAAUGGGUGAAUGCUUCUGAUUUGGAAUUCAUUGAAGGUAAUAGGCCAAUUGUUUAUUCGUCAAAACAUGGUCAUGC
This 328-nucleotide unclassified non-coding RNA is filed under the name Hevea brasiliensis (rubber tree). The record is from RNAcentral. Lineage: Eukaryota; Viridiplantae; Streptophyta; Magnoliopsida; Malpighiales; Euphorbiaceae.